Molecule: long non-coding RNA, 381 nt
Organism: Aedes aegypti (yellow fever mosquito)
Lineage: Eukaryota; Metazoa; Arthropoda; Insecta; Diptera; Culicidae
Exons: 2
Source: RefSeq, a predicted model, not a curated record
UGUAUGUUAAGGUUAAGACUAAUCCUGGUAUUACUUUCUACAAUUAAGGGUUGGGAUAAUUAUGGAACCAUUAGUGUUCUUCGGAGUUCUUUUUUUUAAUGAAUUGGAAGCAUAAUAAACUGUUCAGUGAGUCGUUUCAUCGCAGGACGCUGAAAGUUUUUAUAUCACUCUUCUAUAUUACAUGAAGGGAAGUCUUUGUAUGCCUAUGAUAACCCAUUUUUUUACCUUUAUUAACGAUAUUUUUAACCCUAUGCGGUUAUUCUCGGGAUCAGAAACUUAAUUUCCCUUCCGAAGGAAGUCAUUACUAUAACCUUAAGAUCACAAGUGACUAUCUUUCCUACAACUUGGAACGAGUAUUUCUUUACAGACACGCCGUUUUUU